Molecule: long non-coding RNA, 238 nt
Filed under: Gallus gallus (chicken)
Lineage: Eukaryota; Metazoa; Chordata; Aves; Galliformes; Phasianidae
Source: RNAcentral
AUCUUGAAGAACUUGGAAAAAGCAGACAUGGAAUAUGAAUUAGCUGGCAGUGAAGUAAAUGUUAUGUGAAAAAUUUUAUUUCUACUACACAUGGAAAACUGAGAAGUUCAGAAAACAUCAUGGAGGAGCCUCCUGUUGACAGAAUCACAGUAUUUUAUAGCCAAGCUUACAUUUACAAGCAGGAGUAUCGCAGGGGUCACAGCCCUGCUUCAUGUCAUGUGGCAACUGAACAAAGUUG